GUAGGUGAACCUGCGGAAGGAUCAUUAACACGUAUCCAACGUUAAACCCCCCUGUGAACUUUUAUCGUGCUCUUGCAACCCGCAAAUCAACAGCAAUCCUGGUAAAUCAGUCGAGAAAGUAUUGAUUCAGGACCUCUGUCUUGUGAGAAGUUACAGUUGCAAUUGAGCGCUCGAGGCAAGUGGCUUGGUUUCCCAACGCAAUUGGUGUCUGAAAGUGUCGCUGGUUGUUGAAGGAUAACGCUUUACGAUC
This 250-nucleotide unclassified non-coding RNA is filed under the name plant metagenome. RNAcentral's name for it is "partial contains small subunit ribosomal RNA, internal transcribed spacer 1, and 5.8S ribosomal RNA". The record is from RNAcentral.